RNAcentral lists this ribosomal RNA (388 nucleotides) under uncultured microorganism. RNAcentral's name for it is "bacterial SSU rRNA". It matches the Rfam family "Archaeal small subunit ribosomal RNA", at positions 330 to 719 of the family's 1478-position model. The record is from RNAcentral.
GCGCACCAGUCGAGAAAACUUCACACUGUGCGAAAGCACGGUGAGGGAAUCCCAAGUGCUUGCACGUAAGUGUAAGCUGUUUCUCUGUCUAAAACGCAGAGAGAGUAAGGGCUGGGUAAGACGGGUGCCAGCCGCCGCGGUAAUACCUGCAGCUCAAGUGGUGACCGUUAUUAUUGGGCCUAAAACGUCCGUAGCCGGUUUAAUAAAUGCCUGGGUAAAUUGUGUAGCUUAACUAUACGAAUUCCGGGUAGACUGUUAAACUUGAGACCGGGAGAAGUUAGAGGUACUCCUGGGGUAGAGGUGAAAUUCUGUAAUCCUAGGGGGACCACCAGUGGCGAAGGCGUCUAACUAGAACGGGUCUGACGGUGAGGGACGAAGCCCUGGGGCG